RNAcentral lists this long non-coding RNA (1004 nucleotides) under Olea europaea subsp. europaea. Lineage: Eukaryota; Viridiplantae; Streptophyta; Magnoliopsida; Lamiales; Oleaceae. The record is from RNAcentral.
AGGAAAUCAAAUACAAGCAAUAAGUUAAAAAGAACAAAGAAAAAAAGAACUAUAUCUGAUCUCUAGAACUUUCAUCUUCUAGAGGUAAAGUUUUGCCCGGUGCUUGGGAUGCUCGAUCUCCAGGACUACCAUGAUCUGAAAUCAAAAUCACUUCCAACAUUUUAUCAGCAGGCUCAAAGGUGGCAGCAAUGUUUACAGAGGGAACUAUAAUUUUAAUUCUCUUAAUAUCUCUUUCAUUUUGCUGGUUUGGAUUCCUCUUUCGAAAAGCCUCUUGAGGAGCAACAUUUGGAGGGUUAACCCUCUAGCUAUAACCCUGUUCGGAGUCGGGUCAAGAACAAAGUCACGGCUUUAACUAGAAAAUAAGACUUGCACCUGGACCCUAGUCUAGAGUGGUAAUGCUUCGCUAUUCCACCAAGUCUGGUAUUCAACAUCGAUGUUUUGAUAUGUAUCCCUCACAUACUCUGGAAUAUGAAAUACAGACCAACUUUUCGUCCGAGUCAAAGACAACCAAAUGCGAUACAUGUCGCCUACAUUGGGGGCAAUGCCUAACUUUCUUGGUGAGCCGGGAAGUUUCUGUCUAAAAUCAAGCUGUCUCACAGACCUGUGAGGAUUAUAAACCUAAAAAAUGAAAGGUGAAUUUCUUCGACGAUAAGAAACAAAUCCAGAUCGAAUACUCAUCAUGAAUUCUGAAGUAUUUGCAAACCUCGGUUGGUCAUUUACACGUAUAUCAGGAUGAGAUAUGAGGGUAACGGAUUUCAGCAAAAGUCAUUGGUGUCCAUCAUUCUACGGAUAAGAUCCCGACAAUCAACAAAAUUUUUCUCUCAAGACUGAAAACCAUUCAGAGUGCCAACAUAUUUUCGAAUUAUAGGGCGAGAAUAACUUUUGUUUACACGAGCAUAAACACCUUAGACAUAAUAAGUUGUCGCCCAAGCAUAAAAAAAAUGACCAGGAAAUGAAUGUGAAAUUGAGCCAAGGUAUGGGUUUGUCUGAUAGUUAGAUGUUCG